This 280-nucleotide long non-coding RNA is filed under the name Lathyrus oleraceus (garden pea). RNAcentral's name for it is "Pisum sativum (pea) long non-coding RNA (PSAT_LNC028087)". Lineage: Eukaryota; Viridiplantae; Streptophyta; Magnoliopsida; Fabales; Fabaceae. The record is from RNAcentral.
GCAGACUUCUGAUUGUUUUAGGGUUUCUAUGAUUGAAGACGGGAGAAUAUGAUUUAUAACACUAGAAUUUAGUUUUGGAGCGCAUUCGAAGUCAUUGGAGGCCAUAUCUUCAAGGAAUUUUUAUGCAAUCUUAUUCUUAUCAAUUGGUAUUGUAAUUUUAUCAGUAUGAGUAGCUAAACACUCUUAGGUUAGGUUUUGUCUGAUGAACUUGUUUCAAAUCUGUUGGGACAUAUGUUUAAUUUAAUGAUGCAUGAAUUAUCUUAGUUAUAUUUCUAUUUAA